UAAAAAUUUAUGAUGAGCUUAUAGUUCAACCGAUUUAGAAUGAAGAGCUAUUUAAAUGUCUUUCGCUCCUAUCUGAUAAUUUCAG
Bombus pascuorum is the source of this 85-nucleotide small nucleolar RNA. RefSeq annotates it as small nucleolar RNA snR60/Z15/Z230/Z193/J17. The transcript has a single exon. Lineage: Eukaryota; Metazoa; Arthropoda; Insecta; Hymenoptera; Apidae. The record is from RefSeq and is a predicted model, not a curated record.